UACGUAGGGGGCAAGCGUUGUCCGGAUUUACUGGGCGUAAAGGGCGCGUAGGCGGCCGCCUAAGUCAGACGUGAAAUCCCUCGGCUCAACCGGGGAACUGCGUCUGAUACUGGGUGGCUUGAAUCCGGGAGAGGGAUGCGGAAUUCCAGGUGUAGCGGUGAAAUGCGUAGAUAUCUGGAGGAACACCGGUGGCGAAGGCGGCAUCCUGGACCGGCAUUGACGCUGAGGAGCGAAAGCUAGGGGAGCAAACGGG
RNAcentral lists this ribosomal RNA (253 nucleotides) under uncultured bacterium. RNAcentral describes it as "partial 16S ribosomal RNA". It matches the Rfam family "Bacterial small subunit ribosomal RNA", at positions 524 to 776 of the family's 1533-position model. The record is from RNAcentral.